This 233-nucleotide unclassified non-coding RNA is filed under the name plant metagenome. RNAcentral describes it as "partial contains small subunit ribosomal RNA, internal transcribed spacer 1, and 5.8S ribosomal RNA". The record is from RNAcentral.
UUUCCGUAGGUGAACCCGCGGAAGGAUCAUUACUGAGUGAGGGCCCUCUGGGUCCGACCUCCCACCCGUGUUUAUUAUACCUUGUUGCUUCGGUGAGCCCGCCUCACGGCCGCCGGGGGGCAUCUGCCCCCGGGCCCGCGCCCACCGAAGACACCUAGAACUCUGUAUGAGGAUUGCAGUCUGAGCAAAAACUAAAUAAGUUAAAACUUUCAACAACGGAUCUCUUGGUUCUG